UUUAAAGUACUUAGUUUAUUUUUGGUAUUUAACUUUGUUGUUACAGUAUGUGCUGUUUGUCAUUAGAUAUUUUGGAUUAUUGAGAGUCAAAUCAGAUUAAGAGCAUUGUUCUAUUAUUUGUUGUGGUUCUUCAUAAAUCUGGUAUCAAAGCAAACAGUCAUAUACCAUGAAGGUUCUCUUAUUGGCCUCCUCUUAACAAAAAUCAUAAAUCAAGAGUAAAUUGUUGUGCUCAAAAUAGAACCAAAUGAAGGUUCUCUUAUUAGUUUGACUCUAAUGCUGGCCUUGCAGAAAAAUUCGCAUGCAAAGCAUAUGCACUAUAUUGAGAUUAUAGGAAGAAAUUGAGAUUAUAGGAAGAAAACUGCUUCUAUUUUCUUACCUCUUGUGUAGUAAGUUACAGAGUUUAUAUAGUACAUAAUAUGAACAAUUAGACCUUUGAUUGUGCCCUCAAUUAUGUCCUAGAAUCGUGCUAUACUAAACAUGGUAAGAUUUGAUCACUGAUUGAUUUACAAUCAUGGCAGAGGAUUCUUUCCAACACUGAUUGAUUUACAAUCAUGGCAGAGGAUUCUUUCCAACACUCCCCCUCAAGUUGGUUCAUGUGGAUCUAGCAUACCCAACUUGCCCAAAACCUCAUGGAAUAUUCGUCCAGCUACUGCUUUGGUUAGGAUGUCCGCCCAUUGAUCCUUUGAUUGAACAAACGGUAAAGAUAUUAGACCACUAUCCAACUUUUCUUUGAUGAAAUGUUGGUCUAUUUCAACAUGUUUUGUUCGAUCAUGUUGAACUGGAUUUUCAGAAAUGCUUAUUGCCGCCUUGUUGUCACAACGGAGUUCAGCUGCAUCCUUUUGUAUCCAUUCUGAGCAAAUGUUUUUAUGUAGGUUGACCAACUGAGGUGAUAGUCUUUCUCCUCUGGUAACGUUUGCCACAGGGUAUCUGGACCUGGCUGCCUCGAAUUCUGGAUCAUAUCUCCUGGGUGGAAUUCCUCUAUUAUUUCGAGGGGGUAGGACAUAUUGGCCUGUUUCAGGAACCUCAAAGGAAAUGGGUUCAGUGGUAAGGUUAUUAGAACUAGGGGAAAGUUUAGAUUCACAUACCUCAGUUGUGUGUUCCUCAGGAUAUUCUACGGUGUCAGGUUCUGGUUGUGACGUUGAGACCGAGGACUGUACUAGAUGGUCAGUGUCUCCCAGUUCUGGUGUAGACUCAGGAAGAGAAGAAUGAUCAAGUUCUGGCUCCCCCUGACUAAGCCAAUUUGGCAGUGGUGGUGAUUGUGCCGUUGUCUCCCCCUCACAGCUAGUUGGCGAAGGAAAAAAAAUAUUCCUCUUCCAGAAAAGUGCAGUCCAUGGUAGUGAAGAGCCGUUUAGAGAUUGGGUCAAAACACCGAUAGCCCUUUUUAUGGACACCAUAACCAAAGAAAACACACUUAAGAGUACAUGGAUCAAGUUUAGUGCGGUGUGUUUUAGGAAUGUGAAUAUAAACUGUGCAGCCAAAGAUUUUAGAUGGAAGGUUGAGAUGGGAAGGGAUGGUGUGAUGAGAGGACAAGGUAUGCAAGGGAGAUUGGAAAUUAAUGACGCGAGACGGAAGUCGAUUGAUGAGGUAAACGGAUGUGGCAACUGCUUCAAACCAAAACUUAGGAGGAACUUGGGCUUCAUACAAUAAGGCUCGGGCAGUCUCAAGGAUAUGUCAAUUUUUCUUUUCAGCAACCCCAUUUUGCUGUGGUGUAUAAGGACAAGUAGUUUGGUGAAGGAUCCCAUUAUCCCGGAAAAAGGUUUGGAGAUGGUUAUUUAAAAAUUCCCCCCUAUUGUCAGAUCGGAGGACUUGAAUGGUCCUGUGAAAUUGGGUUUUAAUCAUGCGGAAAAAAUCACAGAAUUUCUCAGCCACUUCACCUUUUUGUUUUAACAGGUAAACUCAAGUAACACGAGUACAAUCAUCAAUAAAAGUCACAAAGUAUCUAUAAUCAGGGGAGACAGAUUCUGGGGCAGGCCCCCAUACAUCAGAGUGUAUUAUUGAGAAGGGAGUAUCAGAUUUAUUUGUGGAUAUAUGAUAAGUACUCUUAUGACUCUUAGCAAGCACGCAUGAAGUACAAACUGGAAUGUCAAUGGAUUUAAACUCAGGAAACAAAGUACGAAGAUAAUCACUUGAGGGAUGGCCGUAGCGCCGGUGCCAGAGCCAUAACUGUCGGGUUGAGGACCCUUGAGCUAAAUGAGCUGACCCAGUACUUGAGACCUCCUCCACAUAGUACAGUCCAUCUUUCUUAGUACCACGGCCCAGUACCGUGCCCGUAUGAAUAUCCUGCAAAACACAAAAAUGAGGAUACAUAAGUACUCUGCAAUUUAACUGUUUGGUGAUCUGACUAACAGAGAGUAAUUUGCAAGAUAAGGAAGGUACAUAGAGGCUAUUGGAGACAUUUAAAGUGGGGUUUAUAGAAACGGUACCACCACCGAUGACCGGGAAGGAGCCACCGGUAGCGUUUAGAAUAUUGGAUUUUAAGGGUGGGGCUGACACAACAAAAUCUGAAGAAUCAUUAGUCAUAGUGUCUGUGGCUCCUGAAUCAAAUACCCACCCACUAGCAUUUUGUACCUUGUGAGCAUGACCGAUAGAGUUAAGGGCUAACGAUUCAGACUUAUCUAAAACAUCCGGGACCAGUGAUUUAAUUUUACAAGAAUUAAAACAAGCAGGGGCACAUUUAGAUUUAUUUAAAGAGACAGGGGUAGAAAGGUCAUUGUCCCUCCUUUCUAACCCUAAAAUACCUCCUUCUCGAUCAUAAGGGACACCCGUGCCUCCUCCUUUCUUGGCUCCUUGUAGCGCCGCUGCAACCCCUGAGCCCUGUCCGUUGCCCGAGUUUUCCUCCGUUUGUCCGAUCAGGUUAUUGUCUCAGGCAGCCUUUUUGGUGCCGCUGGUAGUGACCGUGACCGUAUUCCCUGCGCCUUGUCCCUUUCCUUUCUUCUUACGGAUAUUGUUUUCCUCCCACCACUCCGGAUACCCUAUGAUCUUAAAGCAUCCGUCCCGGGUAUGUCGAGAUCCGCCGCAAUGGGUGCAUUUUAAGCCUGAUUUAUCAUCCCGGAGUGAUGACUUGUCUGUGUCUGACCGGUUUUUAGCCAAUAGACCGGCCCCCACGAGGUCGGAACCUGCUGUCGCUGGUGAUGGAAGAGGAAGGUGGAUGGCACGGCGCAACUUCUCACCUCGGAGCCGAGAGUAGGCGUUGUCCAAGGUCGGCAAUGGCUCCUCGUUGAGAAUUUCUCGACGGACUGGAUCGAGGUCCUACUGUACUCCGGCCAAAAAUAGGUACAGACGUUCCUCUUGGAUUUCCCGGUUCCGGAUAAUGAUAUUGUUGUCUCCUUCGAUUCUGGUCGGUUGUCUUUCAUCGAUCUCGGCCCAGAUGGCCUGAAGAUCGUUGUAUAAAUCUUCCAGAUUGCUUCCUUGUUGUGUUAAUUUGUAUGCUUUAGACUGUAACUCGUAAAUGAUAAGUUUGUUGCUACCUGUAUUGAAUAUGAUCUUGAGGGCAUCCCAUAGUCCUUUGCUUGUCUUGUGCUGCAAUAAAUUUGGACGGAGCUUCUGCUCUACCGUCUGGAUUAACCAUCCUCGGACAAUGCUGUCAUUAGUUUGUCACAGGUAAAUUGCGGGGUCUGUUUCUGUCGGAGGGGAGGGAGUCCCAGUCAGAUGGUUUGAUUUCCCUCGCCCUGUGAUAAACAUCUCCAUCAUCUUUGCCCAGACAACAUAAUUGGAAUCAUUCAAUUUUAUGUCGGACGGUGGCUGUGCUGAAUCAAGAUUGAAUUGGUUUGCUGAUUUCUGAUUUCCAUUUUGGCUAUUCUGAAUUAACUGGAAUAGUUUUUGUGACAAGUCUGCUAUUGGAUCAAUUAUUGCCUGGGAUUGGUCAGCCGGACUGGGGUGGUCGGCCAUUGUUGUUUCGGUGAGAGAAAGAAGUUGGGAAAGGUAUCUGGUAGGUUGGUUAGUGAGAGAAGGUCGGGAAAAAUAUCUGGUAACGGAUGGUUGCAGGACGGCUAUAAUUCCAGGAUCGGAACCUGCUCUGAUACCAUAUUGAGAUUAUAGGAAGAAAUUGAGAUUAUAGGAAGAAAACUGCUUCUAUUUUCUUACCUCUUGUGUAGUAAGUUACAGAGUUUAUAUAGUACAUAAUAUGAACAAUUAGACCUUUGAUUGUGCCCUCAAUUAUGUCCUAGAAUCGUGCUAUACUAAACAUGGUAAGAUUUGAUCACUGAUUGAUUUACAAUCAUGGCAGAGGAUUCUUUCCAACACUGAUUGAUUUACAAUCAUGGCAGAGGAUUCUUUCCAACACACUAGACUAGUCAAAACAUAUGUAUAUAUAAGUCAUCAAGAUCCAGUACUCACUGAUAAGUAAUAUAAUCCUCAACUCAUCUUAAUCCUCAAAUUUACUAGCAUUGAUAUUCUUUUCUUCAAUACACAUCUUGUGUGUACAUUAGAUUUCAAAUCAUGUUGUGAGAUGUAGGGGAUUCAAAGCAAAUGUCAUUUAUCUUUGGAUGUUUCCACUAUGUGGAAUUCCACCUAUUUGAUGUUGAGAACUGCGAAAAAUUUGAAAAUGCAUUUGAUAGAUUUGCAACUAUUGAUCCAUGCUUUAAGUUUGAUCUUGCAUCUGGUAAAGAAUGUGAUGGUGUGCCUGAUAGUUUGGAUUGGGACUAUAUUAGAAAAAUUAUAGAUUUCUUGGUUCAUUUUUAUAAUCUUACAUUAAAGAUUUCAGGUUCUAGAUAUGUCACUUCCAAUAUUUUUUUUGAUGAGAUUAGUUCAGUUGAUUGUUUAUUACAAGAGUGAAAAAUUAGUGAUGACCUAAUUUUGGCAAAUAUGGGUGAGAAGAUGAAAGUGAAGUUUGAUAAAUAUUGGGGGGAUCCUGAUAAAAUGAACAAACUUAUUUAUAUUGCGGUUGUGAUGGAUCCAAGAUAUAAGAUGGAAUUUAUGGGUUUUGCACCCUCUGCUGUGUAUGGGAAUGGAAAGAGUUUGGAUUUAACAGAUAAAAUUAAAUCAGUUGUGUAUGAGUUGUUUGAAGAAUACAAGAGAAUGUUUGCUAAUGAAAAUGCAAACAUAAAUGAUGGUCAUGCACAUUCGAUUGCAAUUGAAAACUUGGAUGAGGAAGGAUCAAAAAAGAGAUCAAGGAUGAAUUUGGGUAGUCAAUUUUUGAAACAUAAAAUUGAGAUUGGAGAAGCUAAAAAUAAGUCAGAUCUAAAUUGUUAUCUUAACGAGAGUAUUCAAGUGGUGGAUGAGAAAGAUGAAUUUGAUAUAUUACUUUGGUGGAAACUUAACUCUAAUAGGUUCCCUAUCCUUUCUCAUUUGGCUAGAGAUAUUUUAGCAGUUCCUAUCUCUAUUGUUGCAUCAGAAUCGGCUUUUAGCACAGAUGGUAGAGUACUUGACUCUUUUAGGAGUUCUUUAACUCCUAAAGUUGUUGAGGUUUUAAUAUGUGCACAAUAUUGGCUUCGAAAAUCUCAUUGCCGUAAGUCCAUUGAAGAACAAAUAGCAGAUAUGGAAAGACUUGAAGAAGGUAUGUAGAUUCUUAUUUAAUUUUUUAAAUUAUUAUUGGCUUAAAUGUUUUAUGCUUGAUAAAUAUUAAAUUAUUCUUUUCUUAUUUUUUCAGCAUUUGCAAAUUGUGAGGUGGGUAGCAGUAUUAAUGAAAACAGUCAAAAUACCGUCAAUUUGGAUGGUUGAUAUAAAAUGGAAUGAUUUCAAGGUAGAUAAUCUUUUCUUGUCAUUAUUGAUUAUUGAAUUGAUUCUGACAACUUUUUAUAGCUAUUUUAAUAUUUUUUAUACAGUGAAAUAUCAGUUCAAGUUUGAAGAAUAUGGUAAAGAAUAUGGUGGUCGGAGACUUGAUAACAAAAAUGAAGAUGUUUUUGUUGUUUAAUUUUAUGCUCGUUCAAUCGUUUGGAAUUUGGAUCAUGUAAUUUGGAACUUUUGGAUUAUGCAACUUUCUUUAUAUUUAUAUUGGACUAUUGGAUUAUAAACUAUAUUUUAUAUGAUGUAUGAAUAUUAUGUGUAAAAUAGUAGAGCAGGUUAUUUUAAUAGUAGAA
This 6017-nucleotide long non-coding RNA is filed under the name Manihot esculenta (cassava). RNAcentral's name for it is "long non-coding RNA (MESC_LNC005661)". The record is from RNAcentral. Lineage: Eukaryota; Viridiplantae; Streptophyta; Magnoliopsida; Malpighiales; Euphorbiaceae.